GCAGAACGCGAAGAACCUUACCUGGCCUUGACAUGUCUGGAAUCCCGGAGAGAUCUGGGAGUGCCGCAAGGAACCAGAACACAGGUGCUGCAUGGCUGUCGUCAGCUCGUGUCGUGAGAUGUUGGGUUAAGUCCCGCAACGAGCGCAACCCUUGUCCUUAGUUGCCAUCAUUCAGUUGGGAACUCUAAGGAGACCGCCGGUGACAAACCGGAGGAAGGUGGGGAUGACGUCAAGUCAUCAUGGCCUUUAUGGCCAGGGCUACACACGUGCUACAAUGGCAGAUACAGAGGGUGGCCAACCGGCGACGGGGAGCCAAUCCCAGAAAAUCUGUCUUAGUCCGGAUUGCAGUCUGCAACUCGACUGCAUGAAGCUGGAAUCGCUAGUAAUCGCGGAUCAGCAUUGCUGCGGUGAAUACGUUCCCGGGUCUUGUACACACC
This 437-nucleotide ribosomal RNA is filed under the name uncultured bacterium. Its description in RNAcentral is "bacterial SSU rRNA". It matches the Rfam family "Bacterial small subunit ribosomal RNA", at positions 954 to 1391 of the family's 1533-position model. The record is from RNAcentral.